Molecule: RNA transcript, 1969 nt
Organism: Manihot esculenta (cassava)
Lineage: Eukaryota; Viridiplantae; Streptophyta; Magnoliopsida; Malpighiales; Euphorbiaceae
Gene name: INO80 complex subunit D
Exons: 3
Source: RefSeq, a predicted model, not a curated record
GACAUUUGUUUGAUGGUGGUUGAUUAUGAAGCAGAGUCUCAGAAUGCAUGAAUGGUUGCAAAAGAGCAUACUUCCAUCUCCUUUGUCAGUGCCUAUUUUGAUAUAUGAUUGGUCCUUGAUAUCAGUGCUGGUGUAUUUUACCUUCUUGGGCUUGAGUGAGUUGAGCUAUGGUCAUACAACUACUGUUAAAAGAGUCUCUAAAAGGAAAAGAGAUGUAUGGAACUGUUUUCCAUUUAUAUACUUAGUGAAAUUUGGCAUAUCUUAACCAAAGCCUUUACAGGGCUCACCGUGCACCUGUGUGGUCUGGAGAGGAAGAAAUUGGUGAUCUAAACAACUUCUUAAUCCCUAGGGUUUGAGGUUUAGGUUGGUUAUUGAAUCUGUUGGCCUAGAGGCCUUUUGUGAAUGCUAAGAUGUGGGAAUUGGGCCUAAAUAUUACCUUCAAUAUAAAAAAGGGGGAAAUAAACACACUUGUGUGCAGAAUACAGAAAGCUGAAGAAAAAACGACUGACCACUCACAGACGACGACGAAGGCUGCCCUACGCCAAAUUCCUCUCUCCUGUCGAUCCAUGACCGCGGGUUCCAAGAACCACCACCAACCUUCUUCUUCCCGGCCACCCAGAAACCUUAGCCUCGCUACCACAGUGACUAACUUCCAAAAUCCCAACUCUAAUCAUAUUUCCUCCACUCCUAAUUCAUCGAUUAUUCUCUCCCAACAAGAUCAGAUUCUCUCACACGCCACCCAUCUCACGCGCCAAGAACUCCUUAAGCGUCGUUCAUUCAACCUCAAGCAGCUCUCCAAAUGCUACAGAGACCACUAUUGGGCUCUAAUGGAGGAGCUCAAGAUCCAGUACAGAGAUUACUAUUGGAAGUACGGUGUAAGCCCAUUCAAAGAAGACCAUCCCCUCCUCCAGCAGCAAAAGCAAGAGAAAGGCGGCGGUGGCAGUGUUGUAGAUAGAGAAGUUGGAGUGAGAGAAGGUGGUAGUUUUAAUAUCGAAGUUAUGGGCGAAAAUAAUAAUGGUAGUGGUAAUAGUUCAGUUUCUAAUAAUAAGGGUGAUUUGGAUUUCAAUAACAAUCAUCGAUGUCUGUUUGUGGGGUGUAAGCUAAAGGCCAUGGCUUUGACUAGCUAUUGUCAUCUGCAUAUCCUCUCUGAUGCCAAGCAGAAGCUCUACAAGCCCUGCGGUUAUGUCAUCAAGAGUGCUCAGGCAGGACCUAUAACAUGUGGGAAGCCAAUAUUGAGAUCGACUGCUUCUCUUUGCACCGUACACUUCCAAAAGGCUCAGAAGCAUGUUACUCGGGCUUUGAAGAAAGCUGGUCUUAAUGUUUCCUCAUCAAGUAAACUUGCUCCUAAGUUCAAUGUCAUAGUGGCAGAAUAUGUGCGACAAAUUCUGGCAAAAAGAAAAGCUGCAGAAAGAGGAAAUAGAAGUAAAGUUUUAGAUAAGGAAGUGACUAGUAGUUAAGUCGAUCAUUCUGGACAUGACUGAUGGAGCAUGCAUGGCAGUGUACAUUGUUGCAAAAACCAAAGGAUAUUUUUAUUUUUUCCAGGUGAUGUCUCGUUGCAGUGUCAGAUAUUAAGCAACUAGGAACAAUUACUAGGAUCUAUGGUCUACAUGUGUUUAUAUACCAAGUACAUGAAAGCUGUAUGUGUCGAUGUCAAAUAAAUACCAGCCUUCUUGGAUGUAAGUCUAAGAGAUGUUCAUACUCAAGCCUAGUGCCAUACCUUGCCAUACCUUUGAAUACAGAAUAGUAUUUUACUUGUAGAGAUUAAUAUUUUAAACAUGUACAGCCUUUCUGCUUUUAUUUUAAACAGUACAUGAAUUCUGUUGUGCACAGUAUUUUUGCGUGCAAGGGGCCGUGUAAUGAAAUAUGUUGGUCUGUAAGGGGAAAAAAAACACCCAUUUGCUGCAAGUGAUUACGUUUUCACAAUCAUACUCAGGUUGUUUAUAUACAGAACAGAGUAUUGAAAUGAGAU